RNAcentral lists this ribosomal RNA (274 nucleotides) under uncultured archaeon. Its description in RNAcentral is "partial 16S ribosomal RNA". It matches the Rfam family "Archaeal small subunit ribosomal RNA", at positions 345 to 620 of the family's 1478-position model. The record is from RNAcentral.
AAACUUUACACUGCGGGAAACCGCGAUAAGGGGACCCCGAGUGCCAGCACCUAGUGCUGGCUGUCCUACUGUCUAAAUAACAGUGGUUAGCAAGGGCCGGGCAAGACCGGUGCCAGCCGCCCGGUAACACCGGCGGCCCGAGUGGUAACCGCCUUUAUUGGGUUUAAAGGGUCCGUAGCCGGCUUAUUAAGUCUUUUGGGAAAUCUGGCGGCUCAAUCGUCAGGCGUCCAAGAGAUACUGUCAGACUUGGAACCGGGAGAGGUAAGAGGUACUA